GAGCGGCAGACGGGUGAGUAAUACGUUGGAACCUGCCCCAAAGUCAGGGAUAACCAGUAGAAAUAUUGGCUAAUACCGGAUAGUCACGAAAGUGUAAAGCUUUUGCGCUUUGGGAGGGGCCUGCGGUCUAUCAGCUUGUUGGUAAGGUAAUGGCUUACCAAGGCUAUGACGGAUAGCUGGUUUGAGAGAAUGAUCAGCCACAAUGGAACUGAGACACGGUCCAUACUCCUACGGGAGGCAGCAGUGAGGAAUCUUCCGCAAUGGGCGAAAGCCUGACGGAGCAACACCGCGUGAAGGAUGAAGGUCGUAAGAUUGUAAACUUCUUUUCUGAGGGAAGAAUUCUGACGGUACCUCAGGAAUAAGCAUCGGCUAACUACGUGCCAGCAGCCGCGGUAAGACGUAGGAUGCAAGCGCUAUCCGGAAUUAUUGGGCAUAAAGAGUUCGUAGGCGGUUUGUUAAGUUGGAUGUUAAAUUUUUGAGCUCAACUUAAAAAAAGUAUCCAAAACUGGCAAACUGGAGACUGGUAGAGGUAAGUGGAAUUCUGCAUGUAGGGGUAAUAUCCGUAGAUAUGCAGAGGAACACCAAAAGCGAAGGCAGCUUACUGGACCAGUUCUGACGCUCAAGGACGAAAGCGUGGGUAGCGAACGGGAUUAGAUACCCCGGUAGUCCACGCCCUAAACGAUGAACACUAGGUAUUGGAGGUCUCGACCCCUUCAGUGCCGACGC
Molecule: ribosomal RNA, 726 nt
Filed under: uncultured organism
Description: bacterial SSU rRNA
Rfam family: Bacterial small subunit ribosomal RNA
Source: RNAcentral